Molecule: ribosomal RNA, 423 nt
Filed under: uncultured prokaryote
Description: bacterial SSU rRNA
Rfam family: Bacterial small subunit ribosomal RNA
Source: RNAcentral
UGGGGAAUCUUGGACAAUGGGCGGAAGCCUGAUCCAGCGACGCCGCGUGGGUGAUGAAGGCCUUCGGGUUGUAAAGCCCUUUCGCCGGGGACGAUGAUGACGGUACCUCGCUAAAAGCACCGGCUAACUCCGUGCCAGCAGCCGCGGUAAUACGGAGGGUGCAAGCGUUAUCCGGAAUCACUGGGCGUAAAGGGCACGUAGGCGGUCUUGUAAGUCCGAUGUUAAAGCGUGGGGCUCAACCCCAUCACGGCGUUGGAUACUGCAAGGCUUGACGACUGGAGAGGUGAGUAGAAUUACCAGUGUAGCGGUGGAAUGCGUAGAUACUGGUAGGAAUACCCAUUGCGAAGGCAGCUCACUGGACAGUACGUGACGCUGAGGUGCGAAAGUGUGGGGAGCAAACCGGAUUAGAUACCCGCGUAGUCC